UAUCCAGCAGUACAUGACCAUGACCAACAAACAUAUAUCCAGUAAUACAUAUGUCCAGCCGUACAUGAGUGCAAAGUCCACAUAUGCAUACGUAUGCAACAAAGGUUCCAAACGAAAGGACCGUAAGUUUCAGCUCCACACAGUGCAUACAUAUCCAACGAAGGUUCACAACAACAUACAUACAUAUGCAACCAGAGGUUCACAAAUUAAAGGAUCAUGAGUUCCAAGUUCACACCAAGCAUGAACCAUGCAAUGAGCUCCACUGCAGCAUAUAUGCCCACCGUCAACGCCAUCCACAAUGCAAACCUAUAAGUCCAUUAUCACACGCAUGAGUUUCUAAAGUUAAGUUGCAAAGAUGGAUAAGGCAAAAGAGUCAACAAGCAUCAACAUAUGAGGCUCAAAUAGAAGCUAGGAAGUAUGUACAAUAUAAGCAUCAACACUUGUGGACUCUACCAUCAACAAUGCACAAGUUUUAAGUUGAGAAGCACAAGCAACGAGAAUACACAAGCAUCAACAAUGGACAAACAUGGACGACUACCUCAAGUGACCAUUGUUGCGGGGAGGUCGAAGCGACAUGAACCGUAGUGGGUGUCACUGGACUUGCUUGGCCAGGUGAAGAUCCACCUACCACACAAUUAUUCGAGCCUUGUCCCGACUGAGAAAACUUGAAGCACGAGAGGAUGAGAUGGUAAGAUUCAUGAUCUUCAAGCAUGAAGGGUAAGAUGCAUGAUUGAAAAGUU
Molecule: long non-coding RNA, 740 nt
Filed under: Triticum aestivum (bread wheat)
Lineage: Eukaryota; Viridiplantae; Streptophyta; Magnoliopsida; Poales; Poaceae
Description: long non-coding RNA (TAES_LNC024601)
Source: RNAcentral